GCUUAUACUCGACCGUCAGCGGCACGUGCGAUCGCCCGUAAGGGCGGUCACGAAGCCCUGACGAGUAGGAGGGUCGCGGCGGUGAGCGCAGAAGGGCUGGCCGCGAGGCCGUCUGGAGCCGCCGUCGGUGCAGAUCUUGGUGGUAGUAGCAAAUACUCCAGCGAGGCCCUGGAGGACUGACGUGGAGAAGGGUUUCGUGUGAACAGCCGUUGCACACGAGUCAGUCGAUCCUAAGCCCUAGGCGAAAGCCGAUGUCGAUGCGGUGUAGUUUUUUUAACAGAUAUAUAUAAUUUWAUUAAUAUAUUAGUGCGAACACACCCGUCGGGCGAAAGGGAAUCCGGUUCCUAUUCCGGAACCUGGCAGCGGAACCGUCAAUAAGUCGGGC
This 385-nucleotide ribosomal RNA is filed under the name Acalles dispar. RNAcentral's name for it is "eukaryotic LSU rRNA". It matches the Rfam family "Eukaryotic large subunit ribosomal RNA", at positions 1340 to 1664 of the family's 3401-position model. Lineage: Eukaryota; Metazoa; Arthropoda; Insecta; Coleoptera; Curculionidae. The record is from RNAcentral.